UGCAGGUCAAACGGUGGCAGCAGAAACAGAGCCCAGGUCUGAUAUGGGGGGACAGUAAUCCUCCCAUCAGCAUCCCCGUCCAGGGCCAGGUGACCAUGACGUUCAAAUGCAAAGAAACAAGGGGUGCCUCCUCCAUGCCCCUGUAUCUAUUCAGUCAGCACCCAACACCCACCCCUGGGUGCCCUUGGUGUCUGAGAGGGAGGCAAAUUGGUGUUUUGACAAGAUCUGGAUUCCACAGUCACAGAAACCUGGGGGUCUCUGCUUCAGCACCCUCUUCUCUGGAAAUUGUCCCCUUCUUACCAGUGCUGUCCUGGACGAUGCUCACCUUCAGCCCCAGAAGGAAGUAAGGGAGGGAGCAGAGUGGCCGGCAGCCCAGAAUGAGAGCGCCUGCUGACCCCCGUCAUGCAAAGACUUUCAGGCUAAGGACACCCCACCUGCGGCGUCACUCAGGCAGGACUGAGAAGAGGGGCAUGCACAGAAUUGGCUCUUAAAGAAAGCAGUCCCCUGGUUCUCUCCAUCACCACAGCGUGUUUCUAAGAACUUUCCCAUUCUGUAAUCACGUGGUUAUUUUGUCUGCUCACUCGCCUUCACGGCUAUCUUCUCUGUGACAUUGGAAGCUUGGUGACAGCAAAAAUUUUACUGUCCUUGUCACACUCCCUUGUGCCUGGCUCAGGGUCUGGCAUGAGGGACAAUAAAACCUAAAGGGAUGAAUCAGUGAAACUCCCUCUGAGGUUAUUAACUGGUUAUUUCACCAGCGGUUAGGAAAAGAUGUACCAAUGGCCUAUAGGCACUAGUACAAGUUCAUUAAAAACACUUGUAGGUGAUUA
Non-coding RNA from Ictidomys tridecemlineatus (thirteen-lined ground squirrel), 827 nucleotides. The record is from RefSeq and is a predicted model, not a curated record. NCBI's taxonomy places the organism in Eukaryota, Metazoa, Chordata, Mammalia, Rodentia, Sciuridae.